Molecule: ribosomal RNA, 407 nt
Filed under: uncultured bacterium
Lineage: Bacteria
Description: bacterial SSU rRNA
Rfam family: Bacterial small subunit ribosomal RNA
Source: RNAcentral
UACGCUGGCGGCACGCCUAACACAUGCAAGUCGAACGAAGUAGCAAUACUUAGUGGCAGACGGGUGAGUAACAUGUGGGUAUCUGCCCUUUGGCCUGGAAUAACACGAGGAAACUUGUGCUAAUACCGGAUAAGUCUUUACGGAGAAAGCUUUAUGCACCAUUGGAUGAGCCCGCACUUGAUUAGUUAGUUGGUGGGGUAAUGGCCUACCAAGACUGUGAUCAAUAGCUGAUUUGAGAGGAUGAUCAGCCACAUUGGGACUGAGACACGGCCCAAACUCCUACGGGAGGCAGCAGUGGGGAAUCUUGCACAAUGGAGGAAACUCUGAUGCAGCGAUGCCGCGUGAGUGAAGAAGGCCCUUGGGUUGUAAAGCUCUUUCGUCGGGGAAGAAAAUGACUGUACCCGAAU